RNAcentral lists this transfer RNA (72 nucleotides) under Camelus ferus (Wild Bactrian camel). It matches the Rfam family "tRNA". From Rfam's summary of the family: Transfer RNA (tRNA) molecules are approximately 80 nucleotides in length. Their secondary structure includes four short double-helical elements and three loops (D, anti-codon, and T loops). Further hydrogen bonds mediate the characteristic L-shaped molecular structure. tRNAs have two regions of fundamental functional importance: the anti-codon, which is responsible for specific mRNA codon recognition, and the 3' end, to which the tRNAs corresponding amino acid is attached (by aminoacyl-tRNA synthetases). tRNAs cope with the degeneracy of the genetic code in two manners: having more than one tRNA (with a specific anti-codon) for a particular amino acid; and 'wobble' base-pairing, i.e. permitting non-standard base-pairing at the 3rd anti-codon position. The record is from Rfam by way of RNAcentral. Lineage: Eukaryota; Metazoa; Chordata; Mammalia; Artiodactyla; Camelidae.
GUGGGAAUAGCUCAGUGGUAGAGUGCAUGCUUAGCAGGCACAGAGUUCUGGGUUCAAUCCCUAGUACCUCCA